This 77-nucleotide transfer RNA is filed under the name Anaerolineaceae bacterium. Its description in RNAcentral is "tRNA-Pro". It matches the Rfam family "tRNA". Rfam says of the family: Transfer RNA (tRNA) molecules are approximately 80 nucleotides in length. Their secondary structure includes four short double-helical elements and three loops (D, anti-codon, and T loops). Further hydrogen bonds mediate the characteristic L-shaped molecular structure. tRNAs have two regions of fundamental functional importance: the anti-codon, which is responsible for specific mRNA codon recognition, and the 3' end, to which the tRNAs corresponding amino acid is attached (by aminoacyl-tRNA synthetases). tRNAs cope with the degeneracy of the genetic code in two manners: having more than one tRNA (with a specific anti-codon) for a particular amino acid; and 'wobble' base-pairing, i.e. permitting non-standard base-pairing at the 3rd anti-codon position. The record is from RNAcentral. Lineage: Bacteria; Bacillati; Chloroflexota; Anaerolineae; Anaerolineales; Anaerolineaceae.
CGGGGUGUAGCGCAGUCGGCUAGCGCGCUGCGUUUGGGACGCAGAGGUCGACGGUUCGAGUCCGCCCACCCCGACCU